ACAAGGUCAAACAAUUAAUAAGAGGAUUAUUUAUGGGCAAUUUGGUCAAGGGAAAGAUCAAUUUUGUCGAGGAGAAAACUAGUUUAUUGAGAAGGAGUAGUUUUAGGCCGAGACAACAAGCGGUGAUCGAAUGGGAUCGAAUACGAAGACAACAAGGUUUAUAGAGUGGUUAGAUGACUUAGUCAUUUAUUUGGGGGAUUCAAAAGGUUUGUCAAGUUAGUACAGGUAAAGAUCAUUCUCAGCGUAUAGUAGUACAGGUAAAGAUCAUUCUCAACGUAUAGUGGUCAUUCAGUACGAACGUAUACCGCGAGCGAA
This 315-nucleotide long non-coding RNA is filed under the name Capsella rubella. RNAcentral describes it as "long non-coding RNA (CRUB_LNC000519)". Lineage: Eukaryota; Viridiplantae; Streptophyta; Magnoliopsida; Brassicales; Brassicaceae. The record is from RNAcentral.